This 73-nucleotide transfer RNA is filed under the name Saccharopolyspora gloriosae. Its description in RNAcentral is "Saccharopolyspora gloriosa tRNA". It matches the Rfam family "tRNA". From Rfam's summary of the family: Transfer RNA (tRNA) molecules are approximately 80 nucleotides in length. Their secondary structure includes four short double-helical elements and three loops (D, anti-codon, and T loops). Lineage: Bacteria; Bacillati; Actinomycetota; Actinomycetes; Pseudonocardiales; Pseudonocardiaceae. The record is from Rfam by way of RNAcentral. RNAcentral also lists the same sequence under 10 other names.
GCCGCUGUAGCUCAGUUGGUAGAGCACCCGCCUUGUAAGCGGACGGUCAGGGGUUCGAGUCCCCUCAGCGGCU